CUUGGACUUCAACUUCUCUAACCCUAAUAAGCUCUCUCUGAGCGGCUCGACGACGAUGGGUUCACUAAACAGAGUCUUGGAGUGUCCGGACAACUUUUGGGAGAUGGUUGAUUUCAGGCAAUGGUGGAACCUGUAGUGGAACACACUUGAAUGAAUUGGAGGUCAUGAUGCUGAAGCGUUCGUGAUUUGGAAUGAUCCUACACUGAUUAAGAUAUGGAAUAUAGCGUUCGUUCAGAUUUUUCAUUUUCUGGAAAUCAAGAAUUCGGCUUCUGCAUUUAAAGCCGGGAAAGAAGCUAAAGUUUCGGCAAAGUCGCCCCACCCUUUUGCCAACUGAGCUACACAUCAGAUGCAAGAAAGAAGCUAAAAUUUGGGCAAAGUCGCCCCAUUCUUUGCCAACUGAGCUACACAGCGGAUGCAAGAAAGAAGCUAAAAUGGAGAACUAGGUUUCGAUUCUAUCGAUUCCAUGGCGCAUUCCGUUCAAGAAGUGGAACUGCAAACCACAAGUAUGUUUUGAACUCCGAAGUCUUGUUUCACUUCUUAUUG
Long non-coding RNA from Cynara cardunculus var. scolymus (artichoke), 543 nucleotides. RefSeq lists it as uncharacterized. Lineage: Eukaryota; Viridiplantae; Streptophyta; Magnoliopsida; Asterales; Asteraceae. The record is from RefSeq and is a predicted model, not a curated record. The transcript has 4 exons.